This 158-nucleotide small nuclear RNA is filed under the name Triticum dicoccoides. Its description in RNAcentral is "snRNA U1". It matches the Rfam family "U1 spliceosomal RNA". Rfam says of the family: U1 is a small nuclear RNA (snRNA) component of the spliceosome (involved in pre-mRNA splicing). Its 5' end forms complementary base pairs with the 5' splice junction, thus defining the 5' donor site of an intron. The record is from RNAcentral. Lineage: Eukaryota; Viridiplantae; Streptophyta; Magnoliopsida; Poales; Poaceae.
AUACUUACCUGGACAGGGUCUAUGGGCGAUCAAGAAGUCUCAUGGCCUAGAUCAAUGGCUCACAUUGCACGUAGUGAGUGUGUUGAUCUACCAUCUCCCUUGGGAGUGUGGAUGUCAUAAUUUCUGAUAGAGGGGGUACGCGUCCGUGCGGCCCCUGC